Molecule: long non-coding RNA, 3971 nt
Filed under: Malus domestica (apple)
Lineage: Eukaryota; Viridiplantae; Streptophyta; Magnoliopsida; Rosales; Rosaceae
Description: long non-coding RNA (MDOM_LNC016424)
Source: RNAcentral
AUUAAAUGGUUUAAUUAUUUAUGGCAAGGAUUAAUUAAUAUGUUAAUUAAUCAAAUGAAUAAGUUUGUUAAAGACCUCGGGCUAGUUUUGGACCUUUAGGCCCAAUGGGCUUCGAACGUCAAGCCCAUUGACUUAAGUUGUAUGACAAUUUAAUGAAUAAAGAUUCAUAAAGGCCCAAAAGCCCAUAUCCCUUAUAUGGCCGGCCAUGUGUGUUGAAUUAGGGUUUUUGGUUCUUAAGUUAUUUAAAGAAGUGACUAUAUAAAGAACUUUAUAGCCUAAAAUUCAUUAAGGGGUUCUUUUGGAGAAAAUUGGAGAGAACAUGUCUCUCCUUUUCUCUCUAGGAGGCUGGCCCCCUUGGAGGGUGUAUCUAGCAAUCCUACUCCUCCAAGGUCACUCAUUUCUACUUAAAUCUAACCUUGGUGUAGAGACUUAGAGGUUCUCAAUUUUGGGAACUUGGAUAACCAUAUUCUUCCAUCCAAAUCCAUAGAUUUUAGAUGCAAGGAAUGAAGGCCCUCUCUUUGGGUGAUUAACCUUUGCUUAUGCAAAGAGGAAUCUACAAAGGUAUAUAUUUCUCAACUCACUUUGAUUUGAGUUGAGUCUUGGUUCACCAAUCUACUAGGCUUUGAAUUUCAUGGGUAAUGUUUUGUUUUUGAAUGCAUGCAAGCAUGAUUCCGCUUUUUAAUUGUUAAAUGCAUGCUAUAGAUGUUAUUCAAAUGAACAUGUUUUCACAAAAUAAUCCUUCAUCAUGAUGGGUGCCUCGUUAAAACCUAGUUAGGUAGCAAAAAUCCAGUGGGAAAAAUGCUCCUAAUCGUAAGGAAAAUAAGUACAUUAAGAUCAAGUGAAUAUACUUCUGGAUACUCCCCCUGAUUUUGACAUAACUUCCAAAUGAGAACUACAAGCAUUGCAUAUGAAUAGUUAGGCAUACCAACUCCUCGGACAAGCUUCUGGAAGGUUGACUUUGGCAGUGACAUCGUGUAGAGGUCGGCAAGGUUGUUUGGGAUCGGCUUGCAUGACUUCAAUCUCCUGAUGCUUUGUUGAUGUAGAUGUGAACGCAAUAUGUUUUUACGUUGACUUCAUUGAUGUAUCAUGGCUUGGUCGGGUUGAUACAUGCGGUAUAGUCUUCAUGGAUCGUUGUUGGGACUCAACGAUGGAUGAAAAUAGCAAGUACUUCAAAUAUGCUCAACAAGAACUCCUAACCAUGUCACACUUGUGGCGUAGUGAAGUAAGGUGAGUCUUUGAACGAUUCAAAGAUUUCGAAACUAAGGUCAUAUCUUGGACCUCCAAGAUAUUGCAAUAUCCUUAAUGGUAAAGACAUAACCAUUUGAUGAUUUUACCUUGUGCAGGUUUGAUAAGUAACCUACGUCAGCAUAACAAACAAGGCAAGCAUCAUUCCGAGGAUUAGGGGGUUGGAUCCGCUCGAGAUGCGUUGCGAUUUGCCCUUAUAGUACCUUCAGGGUAUGUCUUUAAUACCAAUUCUUUGGUUGCAUAUAAGCGCGGUGUUGCAUCUUUACCAAGAGAUCAACAGUGAAAGAGAUGUCCUGUCUAAAUAUAAUAGGCUAAGUACAAUGAAGCGCAAAGUUGAACAUAGAUAUGGAAUUUCGGAUUCCAUAACCUUUUCAAGGGUCUCAUUUGCAUAUAAAGUAUGGACGAUCAUAGGUAUACUCAAACGUAACACAUUCGGGGUGUAGUUCGACUAGUAGACCAAGGAACUGUCAGAACAACGCUUGAACUUCAGGUCAAGGCAUAAACGAGUUUUCCUAAGAUCAUUCAUCUCAAAUUCCAUAUUCAGGUGCGAGGUAGUUUUCUCAAGCUCUUCCAGAGUCUUAGUGAGAUGUAUGUCAACACAUAAACUGUAACCCUAGCAAUUUGGAAUAAGACUUCAUAGUUUAACACGCAAGGGCAUAAUUCAUAUCCUUGACUGAUCAAAUAAUCACUUAGAUGGGUAUACCACAUCCGUUAGAUUGUAAGUGAAUGCCUCAAACAAGUUAAAAGGGUGUUCUGUGGUUUGGAACUAUUUAAACUAGUCCUUGUAAUUCUUUGGGAACUUACAUGUAAAUGUCCGUAUCUAUAUCCCCAUGGAGAAAACUAACCACAUUUCAUAAUGCUACUAUCAGUCAUAGGACAUUUGAGAGAAACCUUGCGCCGUAAGACGUACAUUAUAUUGCACUAUUUCAUUCAUCUCAUAACGCUUCCUUUCCCACUUGUAACAUAACAGGUUUACCUUGGGCAGUGUAAGAAUGACAGGUCCAAUACACAUUUGGUAAAGAAUUUGACCUGGAUUGUAAUUUUAGUUGUCCAUUGAGUUUUACGUUGUCACUUAAUCAACGGAACACUGUUCAAUAUUGUUGCUUUUCAUUUAUGUCGUUAGCUACCAUAUAAGUGAAAACAUCAUCGAUGGUAAUCUCAUUUCAAUUCCAUUUAGCUAAUCCAAACUAGUAUACUGGACCAAGAACUUUAAGUCUCAGGAGAAAUCCGGAUUAAUCUCAUGAGAUGGAAAUGAUUUAAGACAACAAUCAAGUGUAGAUUCAUUAUUGUGCCAUGUCUUCCUCUUCCAGGGAAAUGAAUCCUACAAAUCGAGUGAUCUGUCGUGCUCCAGGCCAAGACAAAUUGAUUAGCUAUCCGCCAGUGUACCGGACCGUCCAACAGGGGUGGCACACCCUCGAGGGAUGUUGACUUGACGUCCGUCAUGUACAUCUAUCCUUGCAGGCAUGUUUACAACUGGUAUAUGAUCUCGUCACUUUAGCUAGAUCAGAGGAAUGUGUCUGGAGCAACAUUCUAAAAUGUAGAAUUCAUCGCACUUGCUUAUCAUACGUGUGCGAUACGGGGAUCGAGAUGAGACAUAGUGGACAACGUCCACACAAAUUCGUGCCGUUCUCCAGGAAUAUUAACGUUCAUAUCUCCCCUUAAUGGCAGGAAGACUAUCUCAUUAAAGUGACAACCCGCAAAUGAGGGAUAAAGAGAUCGCGUGCAAUGGCUUGAAGAGAGCUAGUGUGAAGGAGAAUCAUAAUCGACAAAGAUUUACAUGCUUCUUUGAGGACCCAUAUUAGUAUGUUGUAGCAGCGCAACUUGGCACAUAGAAUGCACACCCAAAUGAGUAAAUACAAAAAUCAUCAAGUUCGUACCCAAUAACUAACUGUAACGUCAUAUAGGUUGGGUUGCAAUGGGCCUCAAGGCGAACCAACAUAACUGUGUACAAGAUUGCAUAGCCCUAGGCAGAAAUUGAAAACUUGGUAUGUUUACCAAAAAUUCAAGCGAUCAUUUAAAUUACGCUUUAUGAUCGUUAGGCGAGUCUAUUUGGGGUGAACAUGGGAAUUCGAUGUUCAAUUAUAAACCCAAAAUACAUGAAAUACUUUAUCGAAAACCGUCGAUAUAAACUCUUCAGCAUUAUCCAAUCUCUCGGACCUUAAGGGAUAAGUAGAGUGGUGAACUCGUAAUCGGCCAGGAUGUUUAGCAACAAUGUGUGUGGACAAACAUAUGACCAAUUUGUCGAUUCAUCAACCAAAACCAUUAGUAUUUAUAUGGUCCUCAUUUUGGUUGGAUUAAUCCAUAUAUAUUCCCUUGAAUCCAUUAUGAAAAGAGGGUCGUUUCGUAUCUUUGCGAGGAAUGAUAUAGAAAAUCAAUUUCCCUAAUAAGCAGGCUUGGCAAAGUGUGCUUGUAGGCACAAAAUCCUUACUUUGGGUAAGAAGAUGCGUUAUAGCAUCAUUGUUCGACCUAAAUGUCCCAAAAGGUCGUACCAAAGCAAGUAAACUACUCAAUCACCAAGCUCUAGGCCGGCCACAUGUGGUGUGUUCCCAAUUGGGAGACAACCCAUUAGCCCCAAAUCAAAGCUGCAUGCUUAUUUUUGGAGGUGGUGCAAAGAUAUUUCACUCUAUUUUCUUCAGUGGUUUCAUUUAUGAUCACUGUCAUCUUGAAUAUCCUUAAAAACUCAACGAUAAGGAGAAUUUAAGGUCCCUUAAAUGGUGAUUCAGUAC